ACUGCUCAGUAACACGUGGAUAACCUGCCCUGAGGAAGGGGAUAACCUCGGGAAACUGAGGAUAAUACCCUAUAGGUUACAGACGCUGGAAUGCCCUGUAACCGAAAGUUCCGGCGCCUUAGGAUGGAUCUGCGGCCGAUUAGGUUGUUGUUGGGGUAACGGCCCAACAAGCCGAUAAUCGGUACGGGUUGUGGGAGCAAGAGCCCGGAGUUGGAUUCUGAGACAUGAAUCCAGGCCCUACGGGGCGCAGCAGGCGCGAAAACUUUACAAUGCGGGAAACCGUGAUAAGGGAACCCCGAGUGCCUGUAUAUGCAGGCUGUCCAGGUGUCUAAAAAACACCUGAAGAAAGGGCCGGGCAAGACCGGUGCCAGCCGCCGCGGUAAUACCGGCGGCUCGAGUGGUGGCCACUUUUAUUGGGCUUAAAGCGUUCGUAGCUGGGUUGUUAAGUCUCUUGGGAAAUCUGACGGCUCAACCGUCAGGCGUCCAAGGGAUACUGGCAAUCUUGGAACCGGGAGAGGUGAGGGGUACUUCGGGGGUAGGAGUGAAAUCCUGUAAUCCUCGAGGGACCACCUGUGGCGAAGGCGCCUCACCAGAACGGCUUCGACAGUGAGGGACGAAAGCUGGGGGAGCAAACCGGAUUAGAUACCCGGGUAGUCCCAGCCGUAAACGAUGCGCGUUAGGUGUAUCGGUGACCACGAGUCACCGAGGUGCCGAAGGGAAACCGUGAAACGUGCCGUGCUGGGAAGUACGGUCGCAAGGCUGAAACUUAAAGGAAUUGGCGGGGGAGCAC
RNAcentral lists this ribosomal RNA (790 nucleotides) under uncultured Methanoculleus sp. RNAcentral's name for it is "bacterial SSU rRNA". It matches the Rfam family "Archaeal small subunit ribosomal RNA", at positions 85 to 879 of the family's 1478-position model. Lineage: Archaea; Methanobacteriati; Methanobacteriota; Methanomicrobia; Methanomicrobiales; Methanomicrobiaceae. The record is from RNAcentral.